Molecule: long non-coding RNA, 262 nt
Filed under: Phoenix dactylifera (date palm)
Lineage: Eukaryota; Viridiplantae; Streptophyta; Magnoliopsida; Arecales; Arecaceae
Description: long non-coding RNA (PDAC_LNC016093)
Source: RNAcentral
CUAAGCAUGGACUAUCUUAUAUUUACUUAGUGAUCAUGAAGAACAGUUGUACGAACAUCAUACUUAAAAUCACAGAGAUUAAAUAUGAUUCAAAAGAAGAUAUCCAUUAAAAACAAUAAGUUCAUACAACCCCAAGAAUAUAAAAUAAAAUAUAAAACCCGUGUCCCUUUGUUUGGGCUGUAUCCAGCCCUGGAGAAGAGCUCAGGCUUCCAUGCAGUGAUAGACGGCAGCAGCGGCAUAGCAACGGGCUUCCAUCACGAUC